UCUUUCCCCUUAAGCAGUGGCCUGUACUGAAGCUAAGAGCCAUGUAAAGACAAUCUGCUCUAUAACCCUCUGUGUGGCACUUCCAAUCAUCCUCCCACUGUGUCUGGGACUGCUGCAGCCAGCUGCAGGCGAAGAGGAUGAAAGUGUGGCUCCUUUCCACAACCACUGUCAAUCCAUUGCGUCCUGAGCUGAGCUGCCCUGGAUGGCUGAACUGCAACAAUCUCAAAAUAGAAGAUUUCUGUCUAGAAAGGGAGCCAACUGAGCUUUGGUUUUUCUAAGACCUUGAUCUGCUUUACACCUGAUGUAAUCAGGGUAACCUGAUGUAACCAAGGAAGAUUCUGCUGUCACUCUCUGCAACUGUGCACGAAGAGUGAUAGGAAAUGCUGUUACUUCAGGGGACUCUGAAGACCACCAAGGAGGCAAGCAAGAUGAGACAUCAGAAGACAAGCAGAACGCAUUUAUGCUAACUUCUGGUUUCAAAGCCCAGGAGUACGAAGACUUUUUGAAGAAACUAAACAACUAUAACCGCGAUGGACGAUUUCAUGCAGGCGAUAAAUUGGCUGUUCAGAAGAAUAAUUCCUGCAUUGCAGGAGAACUUGCUUCUCUGCUUUCUGCCUCCUUCAAGCAAACCGCCUGUGCAGAGCUGAGGCAGUCCUGUUGGGGAGUGAUCAAUAUGCUGCCACAUACCAUCCGUAAUUCUGGAAUUUGCUUCUCCCACCCACACCACGGUGGUUUCACAAUGUGCUUUCUUGUGCUGUAGCAGGGACAGCCUCCUCAGGCUGUUUUUCUUAGUCAUGUGGAUUUGUCAGAUCCAGCCUUUUUUCCUAAUCAAACGGGCUUUUCAGUGUGUACGCAGCAUUGGAUAAGCACAAAGGCUCACAUAGUCGGUCCAGAUGACUCUUUAAGGAGGCUUUCAAUGUCUGUAAUUUACUGCCCAUGUUUUCUUUUCUUUGAAGCAUACCUUACCUCCCUGCUUGGACCAAGCAGUGCUAUGGCACCCGUUCUGGGUAAAAAUGAAAGUGUGGUCCUUUAUCAGCAGUGAACAAUAUUUCAUUUGAAUGUUUGUGCUGCAAAACCGCACUGACAAAGGACUGUGCAGGGGUGGAUAGAUUGGGAAAACCUGUGGGACAGCAUGAAGAAUUAGUGUGUGGGCAGCAUGGCUCACUGGUUAGGCGUGGAGACCCGACAGAUCUGGCCCUGGCAGACAGACCCUGAACUUGCGUGGACCAGUAGAGCUCUGCUACAUUCAGUGGCACUACAACAGUUUACAAAGCGUGAGUUUUUCUUUUUCAAUAUCCUGCUCUCCGGUGACCACCCUGACUAGCCGAAUUCCUUUUUCCGAGGGCACAUUUCCUAGCUGUUAAAUAUCAAAUUAUCCAAAUUAAAAAACCUGCCAGUAAGGCUUUGGUUUGCUUCCUGCAUUGCUGUUGGUAGUUAAUGAGCAAUGGUAUGUGGCUGCACCAUCCUCUGGGGCUUAAUCUCCCCUUCGUGUUAAUAGUUAGUUAUAUCACAGAGGCCCACUGAAUGGAGACUAUUCCCUCUUGAAAAAUUGCUCUCUCCUCUGAAGCAGAGGACUUGCGUGAGAAGAGAAGCAUCCUAUAACACUGGUUUAAUCCUUCAGAAGAUCCUGAAUUUUGAAAGGACUACAACAGAGUUUGUCUACCGUAUUAGUGUCACACAGGGACAGGACCUGUGUCCUGUGGACUUCCAGACAUGUAGCAUCGCUGUGGACAGCUUCAGUCUCACGUCAGGGAGUCCUGUGAGCAAUCAUCUUGCUGCUGGUACUGUGACCCGUUGCUGGUGAGGCUGACCUCUCCAGCGUGGGAGCGUGGAGCACAGCACAACCUGCUCAGUAUGCUGCCUGGGGAGGCUUCUUCAAAGUGAGUCUGGAGGCAUUCACUGCUACGCUAUGCGCCGUAGCCUGGGCGUGUGUUAAAUAUAGGAAUAGCAGCUGGAAGAAUAGAGGCAGAUGAGGGAAUCCGAGGUAACAAGAAGACAAUGCUGGUCAGAUACACUGUUUCUUACUGGUUUCAGUCAGUUUUCCCCACUUUUCCACUAAAAUUCUGUUCGGAAAACAACUCCCCUAUUUUUUUCCUUCUCCUGCUGGGCUUGUGAUUACAAAUAAAAAUGGAAGCAUG
Grus americana (Whooping crane) is the source of this 2138-nucleotide long non-coding RNA. RefSeq lists it as uncharacterized. The transcript has 3 exons. NCBI's taxonomy places the organism in Eukaryota, Metazoa, Chordata, Aves, Gruiformes, Gruidae. The record is from RefSeq and is a predicted model, not a curated record.